This 492-nucleotide ribosomal RNA is filed under the name uncultured bacterium. RNAcentral describes it as "partial 16S ribosomal RNA". It matches the Rfam family "Bacterial small subunit ribosomal RNA", at positions 30 to 507 of the family's 1533-position model. The record is from RNAcentral.
AUUGAACGCUGGCGGCAUGCUUUACACAUGCCAGUCGAACGGUAACAGGCCUUCGGGUGCUGACGAGUGGCGCACGGGUGAGUAAUGCAUCGGAACGUGCCCAGAGGUGGGGGAUAACGCAGCGAAAGCUGUGCUAAUACCGCAUGUGAUCUGAGGAUGAAAGCGGGGGACCAAGCAGCAAUGUUUGGCCUCGCGCCUCUGGAGCGGCCGAUGUCAGAUUAGGUAGUUGGUGGGGUAAAGGCCUACCAAGCCGACGAUCUGUAGCUGGUCUGAGAGGACGACCAGCCACACUGGGACUGAGCCACGGCCCAGACUCCUACGGGAGGCAGCAGUGGGGAAUUUUGGACAAUGGGCGCAAGCCUGAUCCAGCAAUGCCGCGUGCGGGAAGAAGGCCUUCGGGUUGUAAACCGCUUUUGUACGGAACGAAAAGGCUCUGGCUAAUACCUGGGGCUGAUGACGGUACCGGAAGAAUAAGCACCGGCUAACUACGUG